RNAcentral lists this ribosomal RNA (253 nucleotides) under uncultured bacterium. RNAcentral describes it as "partial 16S ribosomal RNA". It matches the Rfam family "Bacterial small subunit ribosomal RNA", at positions 524 to 776 of the family's 1533-position model. The record is from RNAcentral.
UACGUAGGGACCAAGCGUUGUUCGGAUUUACUGGGCGUAAAGGGCGCGUAGGCGGCGCGGUAAGUCACUUGUGAAAUCUCUGAGCUUAACUCAGAACGGCCAAGUGAUACUGCAGUGCUAGAGUGUGGAAGGGGCAAUCGGAAUUCUUGGUGUAGCGGUGAAAUGCGUAGAUAUCAAGAGGAACACCUGAGGUGAAGACGGGUUGCUGGGCCAACACUGACGCUGAGGCACGAAGGCCAGGGGAGCAAACGGG